Molecule: unclassified non-coding RNA, 204 nt
Filed under: Hevea brasiliensis (rubber tree)
Lineage: Eukaryota; Viridiplantae; Streptophyta; Magnoliopsida; Malpighiales; Euphorbiaceae
Source: RNAcentral
GGUCUUUGGCAUGCUUGUUUGAAUUCCAACAUCAUCCCCAUCCAAACGCUGAGGCUUGCUACCUUUCCUUUGGACUGUCCUCUUACCCGUGUUUCCAGUAAUGUCAUCUAUGACCCCUGCCAUAUUAAAUGAACAUAUACCUUCUGUCAAGUUACCAGCAGGAGAAAAAAAGCUAUCUAGUUCCCCAUAAGCCUGCAAUUCAUC